UAGGGAAUCUUUCCACAAAUGGGCGAAAGCCUGAUGGAGCAACGCCGCGUGAGUGAAGAAGGGUUUCGGCUCGUAAAACUCUGUUGUUAAAGAAGAACAUAUCUGAGAGUAACUGUUCAGGUAUUGACGGUAUUUAACCAGAAAGCCACGGCUAACUACGUGCCAC
Molecule: ribosomal RNA, 166 nt
Filed under: uncultured bacterium
Lineage: Bacteria
Description: partial 16S rRNA
Rfam family: Bacterial small subunit ribosomal RNA
Source: RNAcentral